RNAcentral lists this transfer RNA (73 nucleotides) under Micromonospora humi. Its description in RNAcentral is "tRNA_Gln_TTG". It matches the Rfam family "tRNA". Rfam says of the family: Transfer RNA (tRNA) molecules are approximately 80 nucleotides in length. Their secondary structure includes four short double-helical elements and three loops (D, anti-codon, and T loops). Further hydrogen bonds mediate the characteristic L-shaped molecular structure. tRNAs have two regions of fundamental functional importance: the anti-codon, which is responsible for specific mRNA codon recognition, and the 3' end, to which the tRNAs corresponding amino acid is attached (by aminoacyl-tRNA synthetases). tRNAs cope with the degeneracy of the genetic code in two manners: having more than one tRNA (with a specific anti-codon) for a particular amino acid; and 'wobble' base-pairing, i.e. permitting non-standard base-pairing at the 3rd anti-codon position. RNAcentral also lists the same sequence under 2 other names. The record is from RNAcentral. Lineage: Bacteria; Bacillati; Actinomycetota; Actinomycetes; Micromonosporales; Micromonosporaceae.
UCCGGGAUGCUCUGCUGGCCGGGCGCCCCGACUUUGGAUCGGGAGGACGCAGGUUCGAUUCCUGCUCCCGGAG